This is a non-coding RNA of Takifugu rubripes (torafugu), 46 nucleotides long. The record is from Rfam. Lineage: Eukaryota; Metazoa; Chordata; Actinopteri; Tetraodontiformes; Tetraodontidae.
CAACUGGAUUUUUUUAAAUCCACACUUGUUUAUGUUUCUAUAUAUA